GCCUACGGGGGGCAGCAGUAGGGAAUUUUCGUCAAUGGGCGCAAGCCUGAACGAGCAAUGCCGCGUGAACGAGGAAGGUCUUCGGAUCGUAAAGUUCUGUUGAAGGGGAAAAAGAGCGGAGAGAGGAAAUGGUCUCCGAUUGAUAUUACCCUUCGAGGAAGUCACGGCUAACUACGUGCCAGCAGCCGCGGUAAUACGUAGGUGGCGAGCGUUAUCCGGAAUGAUUGGGCGUAAAGGGUGCGUAGGCGGCCUGCUAGGUCUGGAGUGAAAGGUACCGGCUCAACCGGUACAGGCUCUGGAAACUG
Molecule: ribosomal RNA, 305 nt
Filed under: uncultured bacterium
Lineage: Bacteria
Description: bacterial SSU rRNA
Rfam family: Bacterial small subunit ribosomal RNA
Source: RNAcentral